UCUGCUUAGGAAAGGCAAAUAGAACAUAUUUAACUAGAUGAGAAGCUAUUAAAUUUUCCAUCCUUUGCAUGAGUUAUGCUAUGAAGCACUUCUAUUCAAAACGGUAAAUGCAGAUCAAAAUGUUAUCAUGGAACUCAAGUUUCCCAAUCCUCACGAUUUAUGCUGUGAAUUCUCAAACUCCAAUUGAGGCGAUACAUUAAGACGAAAGACGAAUAAAAAAGAAAGUAAAACAUAAAACAAAAUACGCAUGCAAAUGAUGAAAACAUAGUGAAGGUAUCACUCACCAGUUCGUCAAUUAACCACAUCAUUCUUGUUUUCUGCCUGUUCCCUCUGGUACCAAGAUCUCUAUAAGCUUCUAAUAUUGUUUUGCAAACAGGGACUACAUC
RNAcentral lists this long non-coding RNA (386 nucleotides) under Capsicum annuum. RNAcentral describes it as "long non-coding RNA (CANN_LNC020802)". The record is from RNAcentral. Lineage: Eukaryota; Viridiplantae; Streptophyta; Magnoliopsida; Solanales; Solanaceae.